Long non-coding RNA from Rosa rugosa (rugosa rose), 542 nucleotides. RefSeq lists it as uncharacterized. The record is from RefSeq and is a predicted model, not a curated record. The transcript is spliced from 2 exons. Lineage: Eukaryota; Viridiplantae; Streptophyta; Magnoliopsida; Rosales; Rosaceae.
CACACAUGAUGGAGGAACUACAAAGCAAAAUGGCUGAGCAAACAAAACGGAUGGAACAAUUGUUUGAAGUAAGAUGCGUAGAGAUGGCACUCCAAAAAAUGGGAGAGAUGUUUAAACAAUGCGGAAUAUCAGUGGAUACACAAGAAGAUGUCAUGCAAACGAUGUCUCAGUUUGCUCGUGACAAGUCUCAAAGGCCAUCGACUGUUGCUUUUUCACCAGAUGAUGAUGUCUACCGUCCUACAAUGCCAUUUGAUUGCCCCAAUAUGCAAAUUGAUUAAUCAAGAAUCAUGUCUCUAUCAGCCAUUAUGCAACAAGAACGGGAGCUAAUCUUGUGGAGAUGGUGGUCAUUGUUUCAAGACUAUUAGAUUUCAAUUCAAUGUCAUGUUAGGAUUUGAAUUUAGUACUAGAUUAGGAUUUGAAUUCGGCAUUUAUUUCAAAUUAUGUAGACCUUAUAAAUAACAAAACUAUUUAUGUACUUCUGGUAAAAUUUAAAUGUUAGUGGAUUUGAUUUUAAAUAUGAAUAUUUCAUUGAGGUUCUUCUU